GACGAACGCUGGCGGCGUGCCUAAUACAUGCAAGUUGAGCGAUGAAGAUUGGUGCUUGCACCAAUUUGAAGAGCAGCGAACGGGUGAGUAACGCGUGGGGAAUCUGCCUUUGAGCGGGGGACAACAUUUGGAAACGAAUGCUAAUACCGCAUAACAACUUUAAACAUAAGUUUUAAGUUUGAAAGAUGCAUUUGCAUCACUCAAAGAUGAUCCCGCGUUGUAUUAGCUAGUUGGUGAGGUAAAGGCUCACCAAGGCGAUGAUACAUAGCCGACCUGAGAGGGUGAUCGGCCACAUUGGAACUGAGACACGGCCCAAACUCCUACGGGAGGCAGCAGUGGGGAAUCUUCGGCAAUGGACGAAAGUCUGACCGAGCAACGCCGCGUGGGUGAAGAAGGUUUUCGGAUCGUAAAGCUCUGUUGGUGGGGAAGAACGUUGGUAGGAGUGAAAGCUCAUCAAGUGACGGUAACUACCCAGAAAGGGACGGCUAACUACGUG
This 496-nucleotide ribosomal RNA is filed under the name uncultured bacterium. Its description in RNAcentral is "partial 16S ribosomal RNA". It matches the Rfam family "Bacterial small subunit ribosomal RNA", at positions 28 to 507 of the family's 1533-position model. The record is from RNAcentral.